CACGCUUGGGAUAAAUGUCUUCACUCCAACACAGCCUCAUCUGGGCUAAGGGAGUCAAGCAUCAGGUUUUAUGGGUCUGACGAAGAUGUUUGAAAUAUUGUAGGAGACUGUCAAGGAAUACUUAUACCCACUCUGAAAAAGGGCCGUUCUUAAUUUUCAUCUUUCCUGUAAGUCAGAAAGAUAUAUACUCUCCAAAUAAUGGCAGUUUCCUUGUCCUGAAGUUAUGGCAGCUUGGUGAUACAAUAAACAGCACCCUGUCAUAAGGACCACAUAAAACAUGGUCUGACAUUUCUUUAAAAGUAAAAAGAAACACAACCGCAGCAGAUGACCUUUCCUCCGAGGGCACAGCUGUUUUGUGUGGUUAGAGGGACCCGCAGUCUCAUAUUUGGGGGCUACGAUAUACGACUGGCUUUUCACAAAGUGUUUCCAUGAGAAACUACAGUACGUUCCAAAGGGGAGCACCAAUUCACAUCAGGCAGGGAGGAUUUUUUUCCCCUCUUGAUGUUUUCCAAAUGAUAUUUGUGCUGAAUAUUUGCUAUUAGAAACUUCUUUGGUGCAUGAAGUGUGAGUGGUAUCGAGAAUACCAAGGUGUCUUUUGCUUCCUGGUGGAGUUUGAUGGUGGGCUUUCUACCGGGUUGGUGAGCCAGCACCUUCGUGGACUUAUGAGGAGUCACUCAAGCAGUGGUGCUUCUGUGGGUCAGGACUGGAAGUUUCUGGGG
This 719-nucleotide long non-coding RNA is filed under the name Homo sapiens (human). RNAcentral's name for it is "HSALNT0134399". Lineage: Eukaryota; Metazoa; Chordata; Mammalia; Primates; Hominidae. The record is from RNAcentral.